RNAcentral lists this small RNA (1126 nucleotides) under Histoplasma ohiense. RNAcentral describes it as "hypothetical lncRNA". The record is from RNAcentral. Lineage: Eukaryota; Fungi; Ascomycota; Eurotiomycetes; Onygenales; Ajellomycetaceae.
CAGACAAAUGCCUUCGAUUUCAUCUCGUGUCGCUCAUUUUCUGGUUUUUUUUGAUUUUCCUCUCAAUCAAGUGUCAGUUGACUGACCGUGUUCCUUAUUAAGAUCUAUCUCCGGAUAUUUCCCCCUAAGCUUUUCCUGCUUUCAGUAUUUUCCCUGGUGUUUGCAUAGCGGAUGGAGUCUGAAGAGCUCCACAAGCGCAUGAAGGCGCUCCAUCAGGGAGAGAAACAAAACGAUACCUACAAGGUACAUAUAUAAAUCUCUCUCUCUCUCUCUCUCUUUUUUUUUUUUUUUUUAAAAAAGGGGGGGGAACAAACCAGGCCUCUUAUCUCACUCACACCUUUAUAUUUCUGUUUCUACCCCACAGCCCCAUACAAAUGUACAUGUACUAUCAAACCUCAAUAUAUAUACAUAUCUGAAACAACAUAAAGACAACAAAAAUAAAAUCACCAAAAACUAACCCCAUUACCCCCCUCCGUACCCCUCCCCCAAACCACACAGGGCUACAACCACGACCUCUUCCGCAACCGCGUCCGCUACGAGUCCGUAUCCCACGGCCCGUGCCCGCGCGCCUCCUUCCUCCUUACCGUCACAGAACCCUUCUGCAACAAGGUCGGCGCGCUCCACGGCGGCUGUGCCACCACCUUAAUUGAUGUGACCUCGACCGGGCUGCUGAUCGCGCUCUCCAAACCGGGCCAUUUCUCCCUGGGAGGCGUCACGCGAACGCUAAAUGUGAAGUUCGUGCGGCCGGCGCCGAUGGGGGUGGAGGUGAGGAUUGUGAAUGAGCUGGUGCAUGCGGGGAAGCGGCUGGCGUUGGUUAGGUCGGAGAUUAGCAGGGUGGAUACUGGGGAGGUUUGUGUUAUUGGGGAACAUGAUAAGGUUAAUACGGAUCCGGAGGCGGGGAGUUUAUGAGUGGAUUGUUCGGUAGUGAGAGAGAGACGGGAAUGGGAUGUAAUCUUAAGUCAAUCGUUUUCGUGUGCAUGAAGGUGCGGCCCUUGCUUCAAGUAAUUGUGGACUUCAUGCAUGGUUAGCAAAUUUUUUUCCAGUCAAUAAUGAAUAACGAAAAGGGGAAAAAAAAAAAUUGAUAAAGUAAGAUGGCUGCCUCUAUACCCAUCUCAUACCUGGCGCA